Molecule: unclassified non-coding RNA, 538 nt
Filed under: Mycoplasmoides gallisepticum
Lineage: Bacteria; Bacillati; Mycoplasmatota; Mycoplasmoidales; Mycoplasmoidaceae
Description: Mycoplasma gallisepticum partial contains 16S-23S ribosomal RNA intergenic spacer and 23S ribosomal RNA
Source: RNAcentral
GGGGUAUUUUAAAAGCAGUUAUUAAGUUUUUUUCUUUAAAGCUUUUGAACUUAAUAACACUUUAAGUUAACCUUGUAAACAUUAUUAAGUUUACCUUUCAAAGAUCAAAGAACAAUUAUUAAAACCUUUUUGAUCAGAUAACUAAUAAACUAACUAACUAAAUCAUUGAUGCAUAAUUAACUGCAUCAAUGAUUUUUUUUAUUAUUUUUACUGCAAAAAAUGCAGAUUUAUCUGUUCAAACCAAUGAUUUAAAAAGGCUUUUUUUAUUAUUAAUCAUUCGUUAUUUUUUUACUUGAGAUUUUAGCUUUAAUGCUUAUAAAAAAAUCCAAUGAUAAAAGUUUUUUUAGAAAAGUGUUGUGCAAACUGAUUUGUUGUGCUAUAAUCUUUAAGGCUUAUAUAGCUACAUUGUUCUUUGAAAACUGAAUACGACAAAUCUUUCUAGUCCGAAAUUUGAUUAAAGUAUCAAAUCAAAUUUCAUAUAAUAUAGAUUCAAUAAAAAUAGCUAAUGGAUCAAAUACAUAAGUUACUAAGGGCUUAU